CAUGCAAGUCGAGGGGAAACGACAUCGAAAGCUUGCUUUUGAUGGGCGUCGACCGGCGCACGGGUGAGUAACGCGUAUCCAACCUGCCCAUCACUUGGGGAUAACCUUGCGAAAGUAAGACUAAUACCCAAUGAUAUCUCUAGAAGGCAUCUGAAAGAGAUUAAAGAUUUAUCGGUGAUGGAUGGGGAUGCGUCUGAUUAGCUUGUUGGCGGGGUAACGGCCCACCAAAGCAACGAUCAGUAGGGGUUCUGAGAGGAAGGUCCCCCACAUUGGAACUGAGACACGGUCCAAACUCCUACGGGAGGCAGCAGUGAGGAAUAUUGGUCAAUGGACGAGAGUCUGAACCAGCCAAGUAGCGUGCAGGAUGACGGCCCUAUGGGUUGUAAACUGCUUUUAUAAGGGAAUAAAGUGAGUCUCGUGAGACUUUUUGCAUGUACCUUAUGAAUAAGGACCGGCUAAUUCCGUGCCAGCAGCCGCGGUAAUACGGAAGGUCCGGGCGUUAUCCGGAUUUAUUGGGUUUAAAGGGAGCGUAGGCCGGAGAUUAAGCGUGUUGUGAAAUGUAGAUGCUCAACAUCUGCACUGCAGCGCGAACUGGUUUCCUUGAGUACGCACAAAGUGGGCGGAAUUCGUGGUGUAGCGGUGAAAUGCUUAGAUAUCACGAAGAACUCCGAUUGCGAAGGCAGCUCACUGGAGCGCAACUGACGCUGAAGCUCGAAAGUGCGGGUAUCGAACAGGAUUAGAUACCCUGGUAGUCCGCACGGUAAACGAUGGAUGCCCGCUGUUGGUCUGAAUAGGUCAGCGGCCAAGCGAAAGCAUUAAGCAUCCCACCUGGGGAGUACGCCGGCAACGGUGAAACUCAAAGGAAUUGACGGGGCCCGCACAAGCGGAGGAACAUGUGGUUUAAUUCGAUGAUACGCGAGGAACCUU
RNAcentral lists this ribosomal RNA (927 nucleotides) under uncultured bacterium. RNAcentral's name for it is "bacterial SSU rRNA". It matches the Rfam family "Bacterial small subunit ribosomal RNA", at positions 54 to 972 of the family's 1533-position model. The record is from RNAcentral.